Molecule: long non-coding RNA, 902 nt
Organism: Lathyrus oleraceus (garden pea)
Lineage: Eukaryota; Viridiplantae; Streptophyta; Magnoliopsida; Fabales; Fabaceae
Exons: 3
Source: RefSeq, a predicted model, not a curated record
CGCGACCUCACCAGAACACGUUCAGAAGUUCGACCUAAAAUUCAGUUUCCUCAAUCACACGUCGAUCGUUCUCAUGGAAAACCGGCACGCUUAACUCAAAUUCCCAAAGCUCAUCAUCGAAUGAACAUGACGCUCUUCACUGUAACCCUGAGAUUCUCCGUUUGUCUCUCACGAAAACAAUAACAGAAUCCACCUACUCACGGUACACCGUUCUUACCACUCGAAUCCGCUCAUGGUCACCAAUAAAAGGAAUCCAUGUUUGGUGUUGUUGACGAUGAACAAUGACGUUGUGAUGAUGAUGUCGAAGAAGACGCUUCUCGACGCGUUCUUGGCCAUUCCCGACUUCUUCUUUCGGUGAUUUCCUUACUCUUUUGGAUUCACUUCCUUUCGGUUGGUUUUACACUCUCCUUCUUCUUCUGGUUUUCUUACAGGUCAUGAUGCGGAAUGGAACUCUCUGCAGGGGCUUGAGGAAUUUCAUAAUCCAUCCUUGAAGACUCAGAACGAAGAAUUGGCGGUUGCAACAGCGCAUAAGCAGAAAAGCUGGAAAAAGCCAAAGAGUUCGUUUUGUGCAUAUUGGUAUCUGGUAGUGCUCUACACCGUUACAACCGUGCGCGAGUGUUUCCAGGCUUCUUCAUUCAUUCGUUACGGUGGGUUAGACCACCUUCGCAUAAUCAGUUUCAACAAUGCGGCGACCAAAAUCGGUCGUUGUGGCAAUCAUGGUGUGUGAAGUUUGAGAACGGUUGCAGGUGAAGAAGAAGAUUAGAGGGAAGAGAAGAUUGGAUCAAGGAGGAGAAAGGUGAGGGCACAUUAGUGAUUGAAGUUCAUUUGUUGUUAUGCCACCGACUAGUUUUUGAACCGAAGUGAAGAAGGAUGCAGUGUUAAUUCCACACUUAUGUUGGUUC